AGAAAGCGAUAAAGUGUACCUUGAAAUGCCGACACUAAUUCUUAUCAUCACCACUCGAAGUAUCCUAUGCUUCUUUCUUUGCGAACAAUUCUUGGUUGCUUUAGGCUUGACUUAAGCGUAAGAACAAUUAAAUAGAACUGUUGGUAAACCAAUUUGAUUAAAAACACACUUAAAUUUCAAAAAGUACUCAUGCAAUUAUAAAAAUACUAAAGAAAAAUUAAAGUGCUAAGAUAAAGUCAUGGUGAACUAGAGCCACCAAAAAGUACAUUACAAAAUUCCCAAAAACAAAAACAGAAUUAGUAAAAAGAAACUCAAACAAACAAUACUCUCAAAACUCCACAAAUUCAAUCCUCCUCCUCUUCAUCACCACCUACACUUCCGAGAACAUCUUCCAUCUCCUCAUUUGGGUCAGCACUACCUCCU
This 423-nucleotide long non-coding RNA is filed under the name Lathyrus oleraceus (garden pea). Its description in RNAcentral is "Pisum sativum (pea) long non-coding RNA (PSAT_LNC016064)". The record is from RNAcentral. Lineage: Eukaryota; Viridiplantae; Streptophyta; Magnoliopsida; Fabales; Fabaceae.